CCGUACCUACGGGGGGCAGCAGUGAGGAAUAUUGGUCAAUGGCCGGAAGGCUGAACCAGCCAAGUCGCGUGAGGGACGACUGCCCUAUGGGUUGUAAACCUCUUUUAUAAGGGAAGAAUAAAUGCUACGUGUAGCAUGAUGCCUGUACCUUAUGAAUAAGCAUCGGCUAACUCCGUGCCAGCAGCCGCGGUAAUACGGAGGAUGCGAGCGUUAUCCGGAUUUAUUGGGUUUAAAGGGUGCGUAGGCGGGCUGCCAAGUCAGCGGUAAAAUUGCGUGGCUCACCCCCGUCGAGCCGUUGAAACUGG
This 305-nucleotide ribosomal RNA is filed under the name uncultured bacterium. RNAcentral's name for it is "bacterial SSU rRNA". It matches the Rfam family "Bacterial small subunit ribosomal RNA", at positions 331 to 636 of the family's 1533-position model. The record is from RNAcentral.